Molecule: long non-coding RNA, 385 nt
Filed under: Monodelphis domestica (gray short-tailed opossum)
Lineage: Eukaryota; Metazoa; Chordata; Mammalia; Didelphimorphia; Didelphidae
Description: lncRNA (ENSMODG00000029730.2)
Source: RNAcentral
UGACUCUGAAAGGAGUUUUCUAUUCAUUUUACCACAUAGUCUAAAAGUAAAGAGACUUUGUAUUUAAUACCUUUAUGAGAAGGCCAUGUGGCUUAACUUGAGAUAACCAAGGCAUGGUAGACCAGCUCAUCACUAACAUCUUCCUCUCUGAUUGGAGGAUGGGAUUAUGAACCCCAAACCUCCAUUUAAGGGGAGAGCCCAGAUCAGUCAUCUCAUUUCUCACUUGCUUGCACUUCUCCAAAUGUCUCCAAGGUGAGUAACCUCCUCCUCUCCCAUUGCCAAUCCCUGUUUCAGCUUCUCUCAAUAAAUGUAAACUUCUUGAGGGCAGAAAAGAAAGAAAGGAAGGAAGGAAGGAAGAAAGAGAAAGAAAGAAGAAAGAGAAAAG